Molecule: ribosomal RNA, 496 nt
Filed under: uncultured bacterium
Lineage: Bacteria
Description: partial 16S ribosomal RNA
Rfam family: Bacterial small subunit ribosomal RNA
Source: RNAcentral
GAUGAACGCUGGCGGCGUGCCUAAUACAUGCAAGUCGAGCGAACAGACGAGGAGCUUGCUCCUCUGACGUUAGCGGCGGACGGGUGAGUAACACGUGGAUAACCUACCUAUAAGACUGGGAUAACUUCGGGAAACCGGAGCUAAUACCGGAUAAUAUAUUGAACCGCAUGGUUCAAUAGUGAAAGACGGUUUUGCUGUCACUUAUAGAUGGAUCCGCGCCGCAUUAGCUAGUUGGUAAGGUAACGGCUUACCAAGGCAACGAUGCGUAGCCGACCUGAGAGGGGGUAGGGCCCAAAUGGAACGGAGACCCGGUCAGGACCCCUAGGGGGGGCAGCAGUAGGGAAUCUCCCGAAAUGGGCGAAAGCUUGACGGAGAAACGCCGGGUGGGGGAAGAAGUGCUUCGGGUGGUAAAACCCUUUUUUUAGGGAAAAAAAAAUGUGAAAGUAAAUAUGUCCGUUUUACGGGAACCAAUAAAGAAAGCCAGGGCAAACUCCGU